Molecule: unclassified non-coding RNA, 362 nt
Filed under: uncultured bacterium
Lineage: Bacteria
Description: contains 16S-23S intergenic spacer region
Source: RNAcentral
UCCGGGUUGGACCCGGCGGUCCCGCCAGACAUGGUAACUGGCAGCGAGGGUUGCGCUCGUUGCGGGACCUAACCCAACAUCUCACGACACGAGCUGACGACAGCCAUGCAGCACCUGUGCAUCAGCCCCGAAGGGAAAACAGCUUUCACUGCCGGUCUAAUGCAUGUCAAACCCAGGUAAGGUUCUUCGCGUUGCGUCGAAUUAAACCACAUGCUCCACCGCUUGUGCGGGCCCCCGUCAAUUCGUUUGAGUUUCAGCCUUGCGACCGUACUCCCCAGGCGGGGCACUUACUGCGUUAGCGCCGGCACCGACGGGAUGUAUACCGCCGACACCUAGUGCCCAUCGUUUACAGCGUGGACUAC